CGGUUACGGGGGAUUAGGGUUCGAUUCCGGAGAGGGAGCCUGAGAAACGGCUACCACAUCUAAGGAAGGCAGCAGGCGCGCAAAUUACCCAAUUCUAACAGCAUAAGAGAGGUAGUGACAAGAAAUAACAAUACAAGGCAUUUAAAAUGCUUUGUAAUUGGAAUGAUAGAAAUUUAAACACUUUUUAAAGUAUCAAUUGGAGGGCAAGUCUGGUGCCAGCAGCCGCGGUAAUUCCAGCUCCAAUAGCGUAUAUUAAAAUUGUUGCAGUUAAAAAGCUCGUAGUUGAAUUUCUGCUAAAAAUAACCGGUCUGCUUUUAACAAAAGUGGUAUCUUGGUGUGUUUUUAGCAAUAAUGUCCUUUGAAAUGUGUUUUACUUUGUUGUAAAAGAUAAUAUUCAGGAUUUUUACUUUGAGAAAAUUAKAGUGUUUCUAGCAGGCUAAUGUUUUGAAUACUGCAGCAUGGAAUAAUAAAAUAUGAUUUUGGUUCUACAUUGUUGGUUUUAAGAG
This 506-nucleotide ribosomal RNA is filed under the name Hepatozoon sp. BT-2014. RNAcentral's name for it is "bacterial SSU rRNA". It matches the Rfam family "Eukaryotic small subunit ribosomal RNA", at positions 358 to 867 of the family's 1831-position model. The record is from RNAcentral. Lineage: Eukaryota; Apicomplexa; Hepatozoidae.